ACGCUGGCGGCGUGCCUAAUACAUGCAAGUAGAACGCUGAAGCUUGGUGCUUGCACCGAGCGGAUGAGUUGCGAACGGGUGAGUAACGCGUAGGUAACCUGCCUCUUAGCGGGGGAUAACUAUUGGAAACGAUAGCUAAUACCGCAUAAAAGUCGACAUCGCAUGAUGUUGACUUGAAAGGUGCAAUUGCAUCACUAAGAGAUGGACCUGCGUUGUAUUAGCUAGUUGGUGAGGUAACGGCUCACCAAGGCGACGAUACAUAGCCGACCUGAGAGGGUGAUCGGCCACACUGGGACUGAGACACGGCCCAGACUCCUACGGGAGGCAGCAGUAGGGAAUCUUCGGCAAUGGGGGCAACCCUGACCGAGCAACGCCGCGUGAGUGAAGAAGGUUUUCGGAUCGUAAAGCUCUGUUGUAAGAGAAGAACGAGUGUGAGAGUGGAAAGUUCACACUGUGACGGUAACUUACCAGAAAGGGACGGCUAACUACGUGCCAGCAGCCGCGGUAAUACGUAGGUCCCGAGCGUUAUCCGGAUUUAUUGGGCGUAAAGCGAGCGCAGGCGGUUAGAUAAGUCUGAAGUUAAAGGCUGUGGCUUAACCAUAGUACGCUUUGGAAACUGUUUAACUUGAGUGCAGAAGGGGAGAGUGGAAUUCCAUGUGUAGCGGUGAAAUGCGUAGAUAUAUGGAGGAACACCGGUGGCGAAAGCGGCUCUCUGGUCUGUAACUGACGCUGAGGCUCGAAAGCGUGGGGAGCAAACAGGAUUAGAUACCCUGGUAGUCCACGCCGUAAACGAUGAGUGCUAGGUGUUGGGUCCUUUCCGGGACUCAGUGCCGCAGCUAACGCAUUAAGCACUCCGCCUGGGGAGUACGACCGCAAGGUUGAAACUCAAAGGAAUUGACGGGGGCCCGCACAAGCGG
RNAcentral lists this ribosomal RNA (917 nucleotides) under uncultured bacterium. RNAcentral's name for it is "bacterial SSU rRNA". It matches the Rfam family "Bacterial small subunit ribosomal RNA", at positions 33 to 932 of the family's 1533-position model. The record is from RNAcentral.